Peromyscus californicus insignis is the source of this 2084-nucleotide long non-coding RNA. RefSeq lists it as uncharacterized. The transcript has 2 exons. The record is from RefSeq and is a predicted model, not a curated record. NCBI's taxonomy places the organism in Eukaryota, Metazoa, Chordata, Mammalia, Rodentia, Cricetidae.
AGCCGGCCUCCACCACCGGGCAUUCGGUAUUGAAAGCAAACCCUGCUGAACGUGACGGAGGGGAGAAAGCUCGGCGUUUGCUUUAAUUCCAUUCCAUGACUCAAUCACGAUACAGUCAGCGCUGAAAACGAUGAGGAAGUGCGGUCUCUGUGGGCUGACUUUUCACUCUCGGAAACAGCUUGGUCAAAAUAGCUGCCUUCUCCAUGCUUCCCUUCCUCACUUAGGAGAAAGCAUGAAGAAAGCAUGAAGCAUGAACUCUCAAGAGCUGUGCGGUCUAGUGCAGUGCGUGUUAGGCCAGGAAGACUUGCCAUUUCCCAAUCCCGCAAAAUUACUGUCAAAGAAAUGCAGGGCGGUGCGCGCGGGGCCGGGGCGGGGCGGGAGGGGGGAUUUCAAUCACUGGAAUCCAGAGACCCCCCGCUGUUGCCGCUGCCUCCCCACCAAGCAUGUGAAAUUUGGAGCUUAGCGGGCUUCAGGAACAAAGAGGCUGGGAACUGAUCCUGAGUGCCGCAGUAUGGGGACAACGGGAGCAAUGGGGACAGAUGCCCUAUGGUGGAUGGCAAGGGAGUUAGGUCACUGUUCUUGUCGGUAAACUGGGGCCUUGACAUUUGGCUGGAAGCUAAGGGGACCCUCUGGGAGAUGUCAAGCUGGCAAGUGAUGUAAGAUUUCCACUGCAGAAAGAGAAUUUCACAAGGCGAGUCCAAUCUAGGAAGGGAGUGGAGACUCCUCCCUUCUGUCACAGUGCCAAAGCCCCUGGGCCCUCGCUGCGAGGCUGAUGCCAUGUGUAAUCUUUGGAUCAUCUUCAACACUAUCCACAAAGCUUUGAAAAGGCUUGGAGCACAGCAAACACACAGGGGAUGGAAUUCACUUCUGGUCUUUGUUUCUUUAAAGACUUUACAUUUUAUUUGGCUGUGCUGAAGAGUGAAGCCAGGGCCUUGUGCACACUGGGCAGGUGCCCUGCCGUGAGCUACAGCCCCAGCUCUGCUCACACAGCUUUUCAUUUGCGAUGGGAAAGGGAGCAGGCCAUUCUGUAUUACCCAGUCUGGUCUCUACCCCCUCCCCCGGCUCAAGCAAUCCCCCUUCCUCUACCUUCGGAGCAGCUGGGACUCAGACAGGUGCUACUGUGCCCAGCUCUGCCACCUUACUUCUUACUCCAAAACAAUACUUAUGUAGUCCUUGAUCUUCAAUCCCUCUCCCAACAGCCACUCUUGGAAGGUUAGUGACUUAAAUAGACCUUUGCAGGGACUCUCUGGUAUUUGAUUUAUGACCAGAAGAGUGGAAUUCUUCUGGGAAUCAGUGAUGGAAGUUUGUGAAUUGGUGAGGGAAAGUCCUGGGGACCCUGGAAUGAACUAACUAGCAUUAUAAGGGCAUGUCAAGUUCAAGGUGAAACCAUUUCCUUGAUGGAUCAGCUGCCUGACACCACUGCUUGGUGACUGGGACCUGUUUCUUCAUAGACUGCUUUAAUUUCACUUAUUUAUGUCUAUACCUGCCUAGGAGCUAAAAUGUCAGAUUACCUGAAGGAUGUGUGCAUGAGACAGCUGGGAAGAGCCUGUUCCCCCCGCCACAGGGGAAGCCAGUGUUAGCUGAGCACACAGGUUAUGUACACCACCUUGGCACAGAAGGAGCCAAAACUGUUUCCUGUGACAAGGUCUCAGAUGACUAAUGGGAGUGAGAGUCAAAACACACAGUUAAGCUUCUAUAAGCCUCUCUAUGAAGGAGGCAUUGGAAUUGUUCUCAGGACUCAAGGGAAGCGCGUGUGUGUGUGUGUGUGUGUGUGUGUGUGUGUGUGUGUGUGCUUGCAUGCUGGAAAUUGAACCCAGGGCCUUGAGUGUUUGGAGCAAGUGCUCUACUACCGAAUGAAACUCCCAGCCUGUCCAUUUUCUGGGAGGUGAGAAAGCCUUCAUGGAGGAGGAAGGGAGAGUUCUAGUGUUCAAAGGAGUCAUGUGUUGGAAAGCUGGAGGACAAGCCAGGUGAUUAGUGACAUCAUAUAUUGCUCAGGUUGUCCAGACUACUGACUUUUUUAGCACUAGUUUUUGACCCUAGCUUCCUCCCGUACCACCUGAUUAAAUUAUAUUUUCUAAAACCUC